GAGGCGGACGGUCACGAGGUUAGAAGAUGAAGACCAUCCUGGCUAACACGGUGAAAUCCCGUCUCUAAUAAAAUACAAAAAAUUAGCCGGACGUGGUGGCGGGCGCCUGUAGUCCCAGCUACUCAGGAGGCUGAGGCAGAAGAAUUGCUUGAACCCAGGAGGUAGAGGUUGCAGUGAGUCGAGAUCGCUCCAUUGCACUCCAGCCUGGACAAUAAGAGUGAACCUCCGUCUCACAAAAAAAAAAAAAAAAGUAAUUCAUCUACAGUCACAAAGUUCAUCCAUAGGAGAAUUGGGAUUUGACCCCAGGGCUAGUGUACUCCAGAGCCUGGCCAGUCCAUGUCAGCAUGUUGUUCCUUAGAUGAUGUGUUACAUCUGCCUGGAGCAGUAAAAGAGCUAUGAAUACUGACAGCGUCUACAUGUGUGUAUAAAGGUCACAUGGAUCAUGACUUAGAUUCCGCAGGUCUUUGAGAUCAUCUCUUUCAAACUUCUACACCCUAAUAAGCAAUUCCCUCUACAACAUUCCAAGUAAAUGGUUUCUCAGUCUGUGCUUGAGCUGUUUUUAAAUGAAAAAAAAAUGUAGUAAAUGGCUGUGAAUAUGAUCACACUUACAUAUAAAUAUUCAUCCCGUGGUUGAGUUUCUGCAGCAACGCUCUACUUGGGAGCAAUUGUGCAAACAGCCAUGCUCAGGGUGGAUCAGAGAAUUCCCACCAGCAGAGCCAGGCACCCAGGAGAGACCCAGCAAUGAGGUAUAAUCAAGAACUACAGUCCUUGUUGUUGUUUAUGUGCCUUCCUGGGACUGACAAUCUUGAAAGUUGUCCCCAAAAGGGCCAAACAGCAUCCUUUUAAGAUGGCACAAACAAGAUCAACAUAACACAAAUUCAGAAAGAAGGGGGAUCCCUUACAAUCCCACCGGCCGAACUCAUCUGUUUCCAUUCUUCUUGCUUCCAAUCCUUACCCACAUGUAAACAUGAUUUUUAGAGUUAUAAUCAAGUAUACUUGCAAUUUGCUAUUCCACUCUGCAUGUUUAACAUUAUAUCAUC
RNAcentral lists this long non-coding RNA (1040 nucleotides) under Papio anubis (olive baboon). RNAcentral describes it as "lncRNA (ENSPANG00000045445.1)". The record is from RNAcentral. Lineage: Eukaryota; Metazoa; Chordata; Mammalia; Primates; Cercopithecidae.